RNAcentral lists this long non-coding RNA (1213 nucleotides) under Equus caballus (horse). RNAcentral's name for it is "lncRNA (ENSECAG00000058912.1)". Lineage: Eukaryota; Metazoa; Chordata; Mammalia; Perissodactyla; Equidae. The record is from RNAcentral.
UCUACCAACACUCACUGCUCCAACCACAAAACAGGGACACUUCCAUUUUCACCCUCCAUCCCAGACCAAGUGAUUCGAAUUUAAGCCAAGUGGGUGCCUCUGACUAUACUGGUAUUUAAUGCUGAUUAAACCUUGGAAUCACCUGGAGAGCUUGGCCUCUAAUGUUGCCUGGGCUCCACCCUUGGAGAUCCUGAUUUAAUUGGUCUGGGGUGGGGUGCAGGAGUCAGCAUUUUUUUAACAGCUUUCCAGAUGAUUCUUUUCUGUAGCUAGGUUGAGAAGUGCAGGAAUCAAAAACAGUAGAGAUUUCAGGAUAGAAAGAACAGCACAAGGAUUCAUCACUAUUCAAGACCUUACCUUGCUACACAAAACAUCAACAUCUCUGUCCUAUCUGCGUGCUUAGUUCAAUUAGUUUCCUGUGUGACUACGUCUGCUACGGAAAGAAGAUGGAGGUUUCAUCUUGACUCUGACGUGGAGUGAGACACAUUCCCAGCUCUGCUGCCCUUGUCUCUCAAAGCUGAGAGUCCUUUCGACAAGAGCUUUUAUCUCCCUUAAGCUGAAGCCUGAGGAGUCAAGAUGCAGCUGCCACGGAGAGCCAAGGCGACGCAGCGGCCCUCGCCUCUCCUGGCCACCAGAGUUCAGCUCCCUGCUGAUCUUUGCAAUCACCAACAUCCUUACCCCUCCUGAAGCUGCUCCAAGAUGAGGUGGAAAUAGACCAGAAGUCCAAGAAAGUCUUGGGGCCUGCCUUGCUCCCAGGCAAGAGGUCAGAAACCUAUCAGACCCCACAGAAGAAGGAUGGGCGCUUCUCCCAGCUCCCUCAAAGCUGCCCCAACUGCUGAGAGUAAUUCUAAACCUGCAUAUAUGGAAGCCAUCAACGUCAGUCCAGGAAACAUGUAGAUGCUGUUUCAGGGUGUUCCAUUCCAAGAAUGUGGUUUCUUUCUGUAUGUGGUUUCUUUUAAAUGUGCAAUCCUUUACUGCCCAGGUUUGGGAAAAGAAAAAAAUAAAGAUGCAUACUUGUAAUUAAAACCGGGCCAUGGGAGACUGUUUAUAGAACAGUAAAAUGUUUAAAAAAAAAAAAUCAGAACAUCUCAGCCCCCCCAAAGGAGAAGCCAUUUAUUUUUCUUCUAUAUAAUUUAUGCAAUGCCAAAGCUGCGUGAACCCUGGUGAUGGGGCCUCCGCAGGCGUAGACCGUCUGCACUGUCAGCGCCGAGGCAUA